UACGAAGGGGGCUAGCGUUGCUCGGAAUCACUGGGCGUAAAGCGCACGUAGGCGGAUUUGUAAGUCAGGGGUGAAAUCCCGGGGCUCAACCCCGGAACUGCCUUUGAUACUGCGAAUCUCGAGUCCGGAAGAGGUGAGUGGAAUUCCUAGUGUAGAGGUGAAAUUCGUAGAUAUUAGGAAGAACACCAGUGGCGAAGGCGGCUCACUGGUCCGGUACUGACGCUGAGGUGCGAAAGCGUGGGGAGCAAACAGG
RNAcentral lists this ribosomal RNA (253 nucleotides) under uncultured bacterium. Its description in RNAcentral is "partial 16S ribosomal RNA". It matches the Rfam family "Bacterial small subunit ribosomal RNA", at positions 524 to 776 of the family's 1533-position model. The record is from RNAcentral.